ACUCAACGUUAAUUCUUUAAAAAGGGUGAGUUUAAGUUGUAAAACCGUGCUACUAGUACAGAUGUAUUUCUGUAUUCAGGUAGAUUUUUGAUCAGCUUGUUAGCCCUAAACUUGUAUUUAAGGAGUUU
This 128-nucleotide small RNA is filed under the name Psychroserpens sp. SPM9. Its description in RNAcentral is "6S RNA". It matches the Rfam family "6S-Flavo RNA". Lineage: Bacteria; Pseudomonadati; Bacteroidota; Flavobacteriia; Flavobacteriales; Flavobacteriaceae. The record is from RNAcentral.